AAGGGGCAACCUGAGUACAGCGGCGUACGGGUGAGUAACACGUGGGUGAUCUACCUCUUUGUGGGGAAUAACCCUGGGAAACCGGGGCUAAUACCGCAUAAGCCUGAGAAGGGAAAGCCGAAAGGCGCAGAGAGAGGAGCCCGCGGCCGAUUAGCUAGUUGGUGAGGUAACGGCUCACCAAGGCGACGAUCGGUAGCCGGCCUGAGAGGGCACACGGCCACACUGGCACUGAAACACGGGCCAGACUCCUACGGGAGGCAGCAGUGGGGAAUCUUGCACAAUGGAGGCAACUCUGAUGCAGCGACGCCGCGUGAGCGAUGAAGCCCUUCGGGGUGUAAAGCUCUUUCGGCAGGAACGAUAAUGACGGUACCUGAAGAAGAAGCUGCGGCUAACUACGUGCCAGCAGCCGCGGUAAUACGUAGGCAGCGAGCGUUGUUCGGAAUUACUGGGCGUAAAGAGUGUGUANGCGGUGCUCUAAGUUCGGUGUGAAAUCUCCC
Molecule: ribosomal RNA, 497 nt
Filed under: uncultured bacterium
Lineage: Bacteria
Description: bacterial SSU rRNA
Rfam family: Bacterial small subunit ribosomal RNA
Source: RNAcentral